UCUGAAAAUCUCAUUACUUUUCUUUGCUUUUAACGGUUCAGUUUUAUGGAAAGGUGUUCUUCAAAACUUAUGCCUUUGCUCCUUUGCUUUCCUCUUAUGUAUUUCUUCUUCAUUUCCUCCUUAGUCUGGUUCCUUUCUCCAGUCGAUCUGUUGCUGUUUCUCAGCAUAUUCUGGGACCGUUAUUUCCAUGUAUAACUCUUCCUUCAUUUUUAACUAUUCUGUUGCCACUAUAUGCGCGAGAGAGUUUGUCGAUCUUGGUGUAAACUUGAACAUGACACUCCUAGAUCUGUUUAGUAUCUGCUUAAUAUCAUGAAUAUAUGCUCCAAUACAUGAUCGAUCUUGACUUUCUGACAAACAUUUCUUUAUUGUUGUGAGGGAAUCCCCUUCUAUGAUGAUCCUCGGCCAUUCUUGUUCUACUCCUAUUUGAACAGCUUUUCGACACGCAAUUGCUUUAGCAGCAAAAGCUGACGUUAUAUCGUGAUAAAUCUCUGAGCAAUAGCCCAAAGGCCACAGUAGAAGAGUCUGUUCUUGCACUUAUUAAGCUGACCAGAGGCCCAGGGCACAUUCUGAAGAUAUGAUCGGUUGUUUCAUUCUUUUCUCCACAUCGGGGACAGUCUGUGUUACUGAUUAGUUUUCGAUGUUUUAUAUUCACCUUCAUAGGCAGAUAGUUCUAGGCAAUUCUCCAUACUGUAAUCUUUAUUUUGGUCGAUAAAUUUAGUCGCCAUAAUUUUUUGUAAAAAUCCCUAAAGUUGGUUUGGAAAACAUAAGCUCUAGAAAAUUCAUCAAAAA
This is a long non-coding RNA of Gossypium arboreum, 789 nucleotides long. RefSeq lists it as uncharacterized. The transcript is spliced from 3 exons. NCBI's taxonomy places the organism in Eukaryota, Viridiplantae, Streptophyta, Magnoliopsida, Malvales, Malvaceae. The record is from RefSeq and is a predicted model, not a curated record.